ACUCGAGUCUUUGACGCAAGUUGCGCCUGAAGCCAUUAGGUUGAGGGCACGCCUGCCUGGGUGUCACACAUUGUCACCCCAAUGCAAAUGUGCAUUGAGGUGAAAGUUGGCUUCCCGCGAGGCAUUCCUCGUGGUUGGUUGAAAACGAAGUUAAUCGCGAAGUCCCUCGUCAUAAAUGGUGGAUGAGUAAAUCUCGAGACCAAUCGUGACUGUGGUACUUUGGGGAUGUAAUUGGUUGGCUCUGUUGUGUUUUCCGUUCAUGUUGAAGAAGACGCUUUUAUCGAGACCUCAGGUCAGGCGGGGCUACCCGCUGAGUUUAAGCAUAUCAAUAAGCGGAGGAAAAGAAACUAACAAGGAUUCCCCUAGUAACGGCGAGCGAACCGGGAACAGCCCAUCAUGAGAAUCGAUCGCCUUCGGUGUUCGAAUUGUAGUUAG
Molecule: ribosomal RNA, 435 nt
Filed under: Vigna unguiculata subsp. tenuis
Lineage: Eukaryota; Viridiplantae; Streptophyta; Magnoliopsida; Fabales; Fabaceae
Description: eukaryotic LSU rRNA
Rfam family: Eukaryotic large subunit ribosomal RNA (bases 284-435)
Source: RNAcentral